AGAGUUUAAAUGAGUGUUAGUUCUUUUUGUCUUUUGAAAUUUUAAGUCAAGUAUGGUUAAGUUCAUUUACAAGUUUGAUUAAGAAAGAGAAGUUUAAAAAUGCAAUGGCAUAAGGCUAAAGUUUCUAAUUUGCAAUAAGGUUUAAGUUUGAAACUCACAAGCAAAGAAGAUUUUGAAAGAGGGGAGAGAUUUGAAAUUUAAGAAGUGGGAGGAGAUGAAGAGACUAAUCGUAAGCAAAAAUUUAAAAGUUAAGAGUUGAAAAGAUCUGAC
Molecule: long non-coding RNA, 270 nt
Filed under: Lathyrus oleraceus (garden pea)
Lineage: Eukaryota; Viridiplantae; Streptophyta; Magnoliopsida; Fabales; Fabaceae
Description: Pisum sativum (pea) long non-coding RNA (PSAT_LNC017794)
Source: RNAcentral